This 71-nucleotide transfer RNA is filed under the name Tripneustes gratilla (Hawaiian sea urchin). RNAcentral describes it as "tRNA-Ala". It matches the Rfam family "tRNA". Rfam says of the family: Transfer RNA (tRNA) molecules are approximately 80 nucleotides in length. Lineage: Eukaryota; Metazoa; Echinodermata; Echinoidea; Temnopleuroida; Toxopneustidae. The record is from RNAcentral.
GUGGUUUUAGUUUAAUAGAAAAACACUUGCUUUGCAAGCAAGAGUUCCGAGUUAAAAUCUUGGAGGCUACA